AUGUAACUGCCAUAGGGAUAAGAAGCCCGGAAAGUUCUCCGUCCCCUUGGAGCCGUGGAAGAGCACGAGACAGCCCAAGAGAAAUGUGUGCUACAAACAGCAGUGAGAUAUGAGAAGGACCACCCGAGCCCUUAGGGUCCCGAUGAUGCUACCACAAGUCCCAAAUGCUGGACACGCAGCUUCGGAGCUGCCUUUUGGGACCCAGAUCAAGACUAGAACACUCAGCUCCUCUAGUACCAUGACUACCUGCAGGCUGCCAUGUCCCAGCAUGUUGGACUGACCCUCUGAUACUGUUGGCCUUGAACUCACAGCAAUCGUCUUGGCUCAACUUCCUGAGUGCUGAGUGUACGGGAGUGCAUCAUGCCCAGCUUUGGGUUAUUCAGAAUACAGACUGCUAAUAAACGUGUUUUCAUUAGGAGAUGAGAAGAGGGAGUAUUCUGUGGUUUGGUACAAAUGCAAUUUUUUGCUUACCCACAAAUCCACAACACAGAACCAUGAGCAGAGGUUAGAAACAGAUGGGAUGCCGUUAAAGGUGUGGCUCUGCGAUAACCCAUGCUGCCUGGUUUCGAACGGACAGCAGUAGGUUUCAACGUGUCUUGGCAUCUAUGAACCAGUGCACCGAUUUCCACAUCCCAGUGGAAGAAAACUAGCACCACCUGGCCCGUGCAUUCUUUAUUCAUUUAACAAAUACAGAAAGAAAAUCUGCAAUCGUCUAUCAAAACUAUAUCUUACCAGGAGUUUGAAAGGUAUUUAUUUAAAAAGUUGUAUUCACAGUCUGUUAUGUACAAAGUAGUAGUACCCAUAGUAGCAGAAGCCAGGCAGUGACCAAGGCAGAGUAAAUGACACCCAGAAAUCCUCACCCUGGCCCUUGCCACUCUGCAUUGGCCUUCAUUCACCAAGUAUGUGUUUGAAUAGAAGUGUUUUCACAGAAAACUUCCUGCUGUGCAGGCUACACUCCAGGGCCAGAGGGAGCCCCUGCGUCCAAGAGAGGAACAUUGCUUCCCCACACUCCUGGAAACAGCUUUGACAUUCAAGAAAGGGUUCAUUUCAGCACCGUGGUGUGCUUUGUCAUGUGUAAUUGGGGUUCCCUAUCAGAUGAGUAGACAGAUGAGGUACAGAAGACCCUGAGAUGUAGCAGCCUGUGGCUCUCUAGCUGGCACCGAGGGCUGGCAAGAACUAAAAGCAGUGCCUUUUCUUGUUCUUUAACUGCCCAUGGUUGGAUAAUCCAAAGACAGGAGAAGACCCCAGGAUUGCUUUUGGACUCUAACUUAUCAUCCAGAUACAGCAUUAUUUCCAUUCUAAGGAUGAAAGCAAACAGUCAGUUUCCAGGCUAUCCUCAAACUCAACAUUAAGGACCUACUGGGAGUGAGGAGGGAUGGGUCAGGUUGUUCUGCAUAGAUCACCCACCCUAAGGCUCAUUUAGAGAGUGGGCUUGCACAGGGCGCUGGUGGCCCACGCCUUUAAUCCCAGCAUGCACUCGGGAGGCAGAGACAGGCAGAUUUCUGUACCUUACAGCAUUCCUUUUGUAACCCUCAGUGGUCACUGGCCAAAGUGCUCAAUUGGUUUGGUCCUCAGCACAGUACACUGGGCACAGUGCUGUGUGUGGAUAAUCCCAGCUCUUGGGAGGUGAAAAUUUAAGAUCACCCUCAGCUACAUAAUGAGUGUGAGGAUAGCCUGGGCUU
Mesocricetus auratus (golden hamster) is the source of this 1682-nucleotide long non-coding RNA. RefSeq lists it as uncharacterized. Lineage: Eukaryota; Metazoa; Chordata; Mammalia; Rodentia; Cricetidae. The transcript is spliced from 4 exons. The record is from RefSeq and is a predicted model, not a curated record.